RNAcentral lists this long non-coding RNA (3847 nucleotides) under Homo sapiens (human). RNAcentral describes it as "HSALNT0009809". The record is from RNAcentral. Lineage: Eukaryota; Metazoa; Chordata; Mammalia; Primates; Hominidae.
CGCCAUCUCGGCUCACUGCAAGCUCCGCCUCCCGGGUUCACGCCAUUCUCCCGCCUCAGCCUCCCAAGCAGCUGGGACUGCAGGUGCCUGCCAUCACACCCAGCUAAUUUUUUGUAUUUUUAGUAGAGACGGGGUUUCACCGUGUUAGCCAGGAUGGUCUGGAUCUCCUGACCUCGUGAUCUGCCCGCCUUGGCCUCCCAAAGUGCUGGGAUUACAGGCGUGAGCCACCGUGCCCGGCCAUUCCUUUUCAUAAUUAGUAAAAAUAUAUUUGCUUAAAUAAUCUUUAUUACAACACCUUGUGAAAUAAGAUAGAGAAAUGUGGAAAUGAUAGCUUACAUAACUUGUCCAAGGUCACAAACUAGAAAAUGCCAAAUUCUAAAAUAGGCACUUUCACACAGUUUUCUAAUUUAUUACUCCGAGCAACCUGAUACAGAAGUGCUACAUGACUCAUUAUUACUGUUUUACAGAUGAUAAAACAAUCUGAGAUUAGGGACUUUACCCAAAUUCAUUCACGCAGCUAAAGAAGAGACAGAGUAGUAGGCAUUCAAAUCCAGACCUUUAAAUAGAAAUUAUGCCUUAUUAAACUGGGAUUUGGUCUCCUGAUGAAUAGCCAUUUCUCAACAGUGAGAUAUAGCUAUUCUUCUGUAGGGCGAAUGGCAGUAAAGAUACUAGGGUUGAUACUCAAACUAGAUUUCCAUAGGCUGGUGCUCUCACAUCUUUGUAGUUAUAUGGAAAAAACCAGGAUUAUACACCAGGGCAAGCAAGCAAGAAAGAAUUAUCUUUUUCUAGCUUAGCUUUUGAGUUAAGUUAGAAGGAGUUCCAAAUAUGUGGCAGGUAACACUGCUAUUCACAUAGAUAAUUUCUGUCUUUUUGAUCACAUGAUGGUCCUUUAUUGGAAAACAAAUACAGGCAAAAUCAAAUAACAGACCCAUUUUUUAGAAGUGAUUUUCAGAUUCCUAUAAAAUCAAUUAUGUCAUAAUUUUUUAGCCUUUCUUUUUCAUUCAUAAAAUAUAUAUCAGAAACUCUACACUCUUACCCAGAUUUUAGAUUAGCAAGUGACUUUUUUAUUUUGCUUCCCCAUUCUGCCCUUUGGCCUUUUAUUGCCGGUUAACGUCUUCCAGUUACUUUAGAGGAAGGGCUGGGAAAGGUUCAGAACUCAUCAUUGGGUCUUGCUGCUUAUCAGCCCUUCGGGUUUUUUUUUUUUUUUGAGAUGGAGUCUCGCUCUGUCGCCCAGGCUGGAGUGCAGUGGUGUGAUCUCGGCUCACUGCAACCUCCGCCUCCCGGGUUCAAGCGAUUCUCCUGCCUCAGCCUGCCAAGUAGCUGGGACUACAGGCACACGCCACCACGCCCAGCUAAUUUUUGUAUUUUUAGUGGAGAUGGGGUUUCAGCAUGUUGGCCAGGGUGGUCUCGAUCUCCUGACCUCGUGAUCCGCCCGCUUCAGCCUCCCAAAGUGCUGGGAUUACAGGUGUGAGCCACCGCACCCUGCCACUUCUGGUUUUAGUGGUUGUAAAAUGUAGGUAAGCAAAGCUUAGUUAUUAGUUGUAGCUUUAUUGACAUGUAUAAUAAUUAAUUGUAAAAGCAUAAUUAAUAUAGUGAUUUUUAGUUUACACUUUUUAGAAUUUAGAAAGUUUGUCUAUUGAUAAGUUAAACUUACUUGAGUGAUUUGAGUUCCAUAAUAAAAAAAUUGUUUCCUUACCAGUACAUCUAUACUAUAUGAGACCGAGUAAAAAAGCUCAGUAAAAUUGAUAAAUGAACAUUGCUCAGAUUUUUUCCUACUCUAGUUUAUAAAGCAAUGCCUUGUCAUGACACUAGAUGGCAUAGCACUUCUGCUCAAAUCACUGAUAGCCAGUUACUUUUUAACUUCAGUAGUUUGUGGUUUUGUUAUUCAGUUAAUUUACUUGUAAUAAGUGGCAAAUUAAAAGCAAAAAUAUCUCAGUAUCAUCUAAAUGUAUGCUAAUGCAUAGUGAAUAUUAUAGUAAACUUAGUACUUUCCAUUUUUAUAUUAUCACUACUGAAAAUCUCAAAAGAGGAGCUUAGUGAUAAUUAACUCGUUAAAAAGCAAAAGGUGCCGGGUGCGGUGGCUCACGCCUGUAAUCCCAGCACUUUGGGAGGCCGAGGUGGGUGGAUCACGAGGUCAGGAGAUAGAGACCAUCCUGGUUAACACCGUGAAACCCCGUCUCUACUAAAAAUACAAAAAAUUAGCUGGGUGUGAUGGCAGGCACCUGUAGUCCCAGCUGCUUGGGAGGCUGAGGCAGGAGAAUGGCGUGAACCUGGGAGGUGGAGAUUACAAUGAGCUGAGAUGGUGCCACUGCACUCCAUCCUGGGCAACAGAGCAAGACUCCAUCUCAAAAAAAAAAAAAAGCAAAACGUUUGGCUUGUUUUGGUGGUAUACCAUGUUAUUUGGUUUGUGGAGCCAGUGUUUUUGUAUGAACAUGAUGAACUACUGAUUAAAACUUUGAUUUGUAAAUUCCUGGGGUGAGUUGAUCUGAAUUGUAUUUUAUUCCACUGCCUACAUAAAUCCAUAGUGCUCUGUGAAGCAUAUGAAUAACAUCACCGUGCUGUGCUUGAAGGGGAGUGAAGAUGAAUGGUAUUGAUUGUUAUCUGCAUCAAUAAAUGAGAUAUUCUGAUUAUGGUACAGUCAGCAGAAGGGAAUUGAAGGCUUAAGAUUUUAAUAUUUCCUUCAAGGAAUUUAUGAUUUGAUGUCAGUAGUUCCUCACAUUUUUUAAUAAUGAAGGCUCCUUUCAAUAUCAAGAUAUUUUAUAGAUCUCCACAUGAUAACCUGUUGAACUUUUUGAGUAUCUGUUGAUCAAGAAAAUAAAGUCAAAAGCUACAAUUAAUUAGUAAUGUGCUCAAAAUAAAUUUGUAUUUUAUAAAUCAUAACAUCUUUUCCAUGUUACUCUGUCUAUAUGGAGUUCUUAAUACCACACAUUUGCUUAGGGAGAUGGAAUUAGCAACUAGUCUGUGCUACCCUGUAUUUUUUUUUUAACCAUGUAGUUGGAUUUUUUAAAAUACAAUAAAAGAGUUCACUUUUCCAGGUUUGACAACAUUUUUAUGAAUUGGAAAUUUUCUGUGGCUACAGAUACUAUUAACAUUUUGGAAAGGUGUAAAGAACAUUGUUUUAAUGUAAGGCUCUUCUCUAACCUCCCUCCCCUCUCCAAAUUCUCCAUAAUAUGAAGUAGGAAGAUAUGUAUUUUUCUGUUGCCAUUAAAAUGUUCUGGCCAUCGUGGGAGUGGGGAUGGGGAGGGCGGGGAUGGGAAUUAGAACUUACUAGAAUAAAAUUCCAAAUAGAGGUUUGGGGAAACCUACUUGUGAGUGCUUUUUAACCUCAAAAUAAGGAUUUGGGGUGGGUGGAGAAGGUGAUGGGGCAGAAGAAGUUGUUUUUGGAGGAGAGAAAGCAGAUUGAAAGGAAAAGGACAGCUGAUAGCCACUUAAAUAAUGUCAUCGUUAGAGUGAUACCUAUUUUUUGUAAAAAGAAAACAAUAUGCUCCAUUCUUACAAAGCAUUGAUUGUAUUUUAAUAUAUACAAUGUAAAUACUAUCAUGCAGUGGUGUCCAAGGGAGAGAAUACAGUCAUGAGUUCUUAGUUUCUGUUAUUGGUUGGGCCAAUAAAGCCCCUUCAUCAUCCUUCUUUUCUGCUUAUCACUAGAGACAGAAACUAAAAACCAUGGCUUCAGGCUGCUAAAAGCCUAAAACAAAACAGAACAACAACAACAAAUAAGGCAGGUUGGACAAGCUUGCUGAGUAUUUGGGAGCCUUUUUCAAAAGUCUGAUUUGGGGGAAGUAAAGUCACUUAUUUUAAGCUACCUUAGUAUAGCACCUAAAGAGUUACUUUGUGAAUUUUGUAUGGC